This 242-nucleotide ribosomal RNA is filed under the name uncultured bacterium. Its description in RNAcentral is "partial small subunit ribosomal RNA". It matches the Rfam family "Bacterial small subunit ribosomal RNA", at positions 26 to 291 of the family's 1533-position model. The record is from RNAcentral.
AGGAUGAACGCUGGCGGCGUGCCUAAAACAUGCAAGUCAUACGGUCUACCUUCGGGUAGACAGUGGCAAACGGGUGAGUAACACGUGGGAACACGCCUUCGAGUGGGGAAUAACGCUGAGAAAUCAGUGCUAAUACCGCAUAUGGUCUAACGACUAAAGCAGUAAUGCGCUCGGAGAGUGGCCCGCGUCCGAUUAGCUAGUUGGUGGGUAAUGGCCUACCAAGGCGGUGAUCGGUAGCUGGU